AGGCUGACAUUUCUUGGCAACCUACGGAAGCUGUUCUGAUGAGCCUCUGUGUUAGUAAAGAAUACAUCUCUAUAAAUGGACUGCAGUACAGCUGACCUUGGACAGGCUUAUUUGGGCCUAACUGGGUUCUAAGCUUUCUGCUGGGUUCAGCUCUUUGUACUUCAGGCAACAACACCUGAGAGGAUUUUUCUGGCAGGCGAAAAAAUGUUUGCAAUGACUUUGAUGAUACGGUGACUGAGGUGUAUUUAUCCUUAGGUGCAUAAGCAAUGGCACACAACCAAAGACUGGCUGCUACCUUCACAUUCCUUCUAAAGGGGCUAAAAGGAAGAAGUAUGGAAAAAUGUAUCCACUCAAGUAGAAAUUUUAUAUUGAGUGUGCAGUUUUGAUUUUGAAUGUCUGAUUUUGUUUGUAGGCCAAAAAAGACUGUGAUUCCAAAUUUGUAAAUUAAUACAAAUAAAAAUUAAAAUUGC
RNAcentral lists this long non-coding RNA (470 nucleotides) under Homo sapiens (human). Its description in RNAcentral is "HSALNT0336346". The record is from RNAcentral. Lineage: Eukaryota; Metazoa; Chordata; Mammalia; Primates; Hominidae.